Ceratosolen solmsi marchali is the source of this 414-nucleotide long non-coding RNA. RefSeq lists it as uncharacterized. The record is from RefSeq and is a predicted model, not a curated record. The transcript is spliced from 3 exons. Lineage: Eukaryota; Metazoa; Arthropoda; Insecta; Hymenoptera; Agaonidae.
GGGGGCCGGGACCGAUUCGGGUCGGGUCGCAGCCACCGCCGUCGUCCCGAUCGCGCCCGGGAAAUUAAGAGACGCCGUCGUGGAAAGUUAGCGCGGCUCCUGGGAGGAUUUCUAGCUUGCGAUCGAUCCCGGCGUCGUCUCACUUCCGUUGGCCAGUCACCGCUGCACAAUAUUGCACAAUGCGGACGAGGGAACUCAGUAACGAGCAUUAAUCGCGUAGACGGCCAAGUCGAGCAUCAAUUACUAUCAAUCUGUAGCGAGAAAAAAGGAAGAACGAGCAGCCAAUGAAACGUCAACGAGCGUGAGAGACGAAUACGGUGUAACGAGUCCCACCCGAAAAUGACGAGCGAUGAAGUGAGGAUAUCCCAUCCAUCCAAGAAUCGGACUGUGCUUUAAAAAUUUAUGGAAAAAUGU